This 490-nucleotide ribosomal RNA is filed under the name uncultured bacterium. RNAcentral describes it as "partial 16S ribosomal RNA". It matches the Rfam family "Bacterial small subunit ribosomal RNA", at positions 30 to 507 of the family's 1533-position model. The record is from RNAcentral.
AUUGAACGCUGGCGGCAGGCCUAACACAUGCAAGUCGAACGGUAACAGGAAGCAGCUUGCUGCUUCGCUGACGAGUGGCGGACGGGUGAGUAAUGUCUGGGAAGCUGCCUGAUGGAGGGGGAUAACUACUGGAAACGGUAGCUAAUACCGCAUAAUGUCGCAAGACCAAAGAGGGGGACCUUCGGGCCUCUUGCCAUCGGAUGUGCCCAGAUGGGAUUAGCUUGUUGGUGGGGUAACGGCUCACCAAGGCGACGAUCCCUAGCUGGUCUGAGGGGAUGACCAGCCACACUGGAACGGAGACACGGUCCAGACUCCUACGGGAGGCAGCAGUGGGGAAUAUUGCACAAUGGGCGCAAGCCUGAUGCAGCCAUGCCGCGUGUAUGAAGAAGGCCUUCGGGUUGUAAAGUACUUUCAGCGGGGAGGAAGGGAGUAAAGUUAAUACCUUUGCUCAUUGACGUUACCCGCAGAAGAAGCACCGGCUAACUCCGUG